CCGUGCUAGGUGGGGAGGUAGCGGUUCCCUGUACUCGAAAUCCGCUUUAUGCGAGACUUAAUUCCUUUGUUGAGGGCGCAUUUUUGUGAAGUCUGCCCGAAGCACGUAGUGUUUGAAGAUUUCGGUCCUAUGCAAUAUGAACCCAUGAACCAUGUCAGGUCCUGACGGAAGCAGCAUUAAGUGGAUCCUCAUAUGUGCCGUAGGGUAGCCGAGAUUUAGCUGUCGACUUCGGUAACGUUUAUGAUAUGCGUUCGAUACAAAGGUGCACGG
Non-coding RNA from Staphylococcus capitis, 270 nucleotides. The record is from Rfam. NCBI's taxonomy places the organism in Bacteria, Bacillati, Bacillota, Bacilli, Caryophanales, Staphylococcaceae.